CUGGACUAUGUCGACAGACUGUCUCUGCCAACGAUGGAUCACACUUAGGGCCACUGACCCAUAGGGGACACUCUAACCCAGACGUCAUCAAACCCACUCUCUCUAUGGCUCUGGGAGCAACAAAGGAAUGUGAAGCACCAGGGUCUAACAAAGCAUACACCUCAUAACACCCAAUGAGAAGGUUACCUGACACCACGGUGUUAGAAGUGUUUGCCUCCUGCUGUGUCAUCGUGAAAAUCCGCGCCGGAGCUGACGGACCUCCACCUCUGGGACCUGCAGAUGAAGAGGCUGACCCUCUCCCUCUGCCUCUGCCCUGUGUCAUAACUGAAACUGGUGGCUGUGGC
This 344-nucleotide long non-coding RNA is filed under the name Manihot esculenta (cassava). Its description in RNAcentral is "long non-coding RNA (MESC_LNC000292)". Lineage: Eukaryota; Viridiplantae; Streptophyta; Magnoliopsida; Malpighiales; Euphorbiaceae. The record is from RNAcentral.